UUAUCUUAAUGCAAUUUUUUCAAUCAGAAGAUCUCUUUAACAAGGGUAGGAACUCUGCUUCCUGGAGCUAUUGUAAUGAUUUGGGUCCAAUUCUACAGUCCCUGUUCCCAUUCAGGCAAAAAUUCCCUUUGAUGUCAUUGGGAACUUUGAGUGGGAGCUGAAUGGAGGAUGCUUUAUGACGAGGAUUUGGUGACUUCUAGAGCAAUUUUGAAAUCCAUAUGGUUGUCUCACCUGGAAGAGUUUCUUGCACUCAGCAAUCAUAUGGGCGAGGCCUUGAGUUGCAGCCAAGUUUUCAUUUAAAUCUUUCUGAUCAGGUUUGCCCAGACUCUGUUUUCUCUGCAUCACCCUACGGAGGAAGAAAAUAAACAAGUCAGUAUUAGUUAAUGGCUUGUAAGUAAGUAGUAUAACUGCACAAUGUCCUGAUGGCAUAGACUAGAGCUGCCUAGGACAGAAAAGUUUGAUGUAAUGUUAAAUGUUAUUGAUGACUUUUCUUGCUACUGCAGUUAUGCCUGUUCUGUGGCAAGUCUAACCCAUUGAAAACUUGUUCAUAGUUGUAAAUAGCCACACUGGCUGCCUAGCUGACCAUCAUGACCAGUUCCAGUAAAGAGAAUUGAGUGUUCAUAAUGGGAAAACAGACUCCACCUCGAGCUGUGGGGAUGCUGCUGACAUGACCUCAAAGGCUGGUUACCAGUCACAGUUCAAUGUCUUG
This is a long non-coding RNA of Dermochelys coriacea (leatherback sea turtle), 709 nucleotides long. RefSeq lists it as uncharacterized. The transcript has 2 exons. The record is from RefSeq and is a predicted model, not a curated record. Lineage: Eukaryota; Metazoa; Chordata; Testudines; Dermochelyidae.